RNAcentral lists this ribosomal RNA (505 nucleotides) under uncultured bacterium. RNAcentral's name for it is "bacterial SSU rRNA". It matches the Rfam family "Bacterial small subunit ribosomal RNA", at positions 791 to 1301 of the family's 1533-position model. The record is from RNAcentral.
UAGUCCACGCCGUAAACGAUGUCAACUAGCCGUUGGGAUUUAUCUUAGUGGCGCAGCUAACGCGAUAAGUUGACCACCUGGGGAGUACGUCGGCAACGAUGAAACUCAAAGGAAUUGACGGGGGCCCGCACAAGCGGUGGAGCAUGUGGUUUAAUUCGAUGAUACGCGAGGAACCUUACCUAGGCUACAAUGCCUUUGCCAUACUGUGAAAGCAGUAGUUCCUUCGGGACAAAGUGCAAGGUGCUGCAUGGUUGUCGUCAGCUCGUGCCGUGAGGUGUUGGGUUAAGUCCCGCAACGAGCGCAACUCCUAUUCUUAGUUGCCAGCACAUAAUGGUGGGGACUCUAAGGAGACUGCCUGCGCAAGCAGUGAGGAAGGUGGGGAUGACGUCAAAUCAUCAUGGCCCUUACGCCUAGGGCGACACACGUGCUACAAUGGACGGUACAGAGGGUCGCGACACGGCAACGUGAAGCCAAUCUCAAAAAGCCGUUACUCAGUUCGGAGUUG